This 426-nucleotide ribosomal RNA is filed under the name uncultured Paraglomeraceae. RNAcentral describes it as "bacterial SSU rRNA". It matches the Rfam family "Eukaryotic small subunit ribosomal RNA", at positions 459 to 886 of the family's 1831-position model. Lineage: Eukaryota; Fungi; Glomeromycota; Glomeromycetes; Paraglomerales. The record is from RNAcentral.
GGGAGGUAGUGACAAUAAAUAACAAUACGGGGUUCUUUAGGAUCUCGUAAUUGGAAUGAGUACAAUUUAAAUCUCUUAACGAGGAACAAUUGGAGGGCAAGUCUGGUGCCAGCAGCCGCGGUAAUUCCAGCUCCAAUAGCGUAUAUUAAAGUUGUUGCAGUUAAAAAGCUCGUAGUUGAACCUUAGGCCCGUGCGGGCGGUCCGUCCUCUGGGCGAGCACUGCUUCGUCGCGGGUCUCACCUUCUGGCGAGCGUGGAUGCCAUUUAUUUGGUGUCCGCGGGAACCAGGACCUUUACCUUGAAAAAAUUAGAGUGCUCAAAGCGGGCUCCGACGCUUGAAUACAUUAGCAUGGAAUAAUGAAAUAGGACGAUGGUUCUAUUUUGUUGGUUUCCGGGACGGUCGUAAUGAUUAAUAGGGAUAGUUGGG